Molecule: long non-coding RNA, 4260 nt
Filed under: Sus scrofa (pig)
Lineage: Eukaryota; Metazoa; Chordata; Mammalia; Artiodactyla; Suidae
Description: lncRNA (ENSSSCG00065027134.1)
Source: RNAcentral
GUUUAGGGCUGCACCCACGGCAUAUGGAGGUUCCCAGGCUAGGAGUCGAAUCAGAGCUACAGCUGCCAGCCUACGCCACAGCCACAGCAACGCAGGUUCCAAGCUUCGUCUGCAACCUACACCACAGCUCAGGGCAACGCUGGAUCCUUAACCCACUGAGCAAGGCCAGGGAUCAAACCCGCAACCUCAUGGUUCCUAGUUGGAUUCAUUUCCACUGUGCCAUGACAGGAACUCCAACCUUUUCUUUAAAAAACAUUUUUUUUGGCUUUGUUCACGGCAUGCAGAAGUUCCCAGGCUAGGGAUUGAAUCUGAACCAUAGCAGUGAUAACACUGAAUCCUUAAUCACUAGGCCACCAGGAAACUCCAAAAUCUUUUAUGCCUCUCAAGUUCCACAUAUAUAAGACGAAGGUAGUAAUGUCUUCUUCAAAUGUUGUUAUGAUAGAAUUAAAAUUAUUUCUUUCUCGCAUCAUUUUUAGAAAGGACCUGAGAAUUUUUAAAUCUCACAUCUUUAGCCUUGAGACAAAAAUGACAACUAUCAAAAAUUAAUAACUAAAAAACCGUUUUUUAAAUAUACCAACCAGAAACAUAGUACAAUUAUUCUGAUGAAUCAUAAAUGCCAGCCUGUUUCCUGGCAGUUCAACUAAAGAAGGAAAUUAUUAUAUAACUCUCAUUAUUUCGUUAAUUGAGAAGCGGAAACAAAUCAAUUCCUCGAAGCAAUUAAAAGAGAUGAUGUAUGUGAAAGCUUCUAGUAAAUAAGCAGAAAGAAGAUGUCAUCGUUUAGGUUUAAGGCAGAGGUGAGACAGGGCGGACCCCAAACUCCUCAGGGGGAUAGGACCCCAUGCAGAGAAAGCCGGCCACGCCUGCCCUCUUUCCUGGGUCUGCUUCUCUGAGACGUCCCUGCCUGCUGUGGACCAGAAGUGCAUUUCCAUCACGGCCUCUCGGGAGAAAGUUGGGUGUGUGAUGUUCCACUGACCAGAGGAAAAUGCCAGGUUGGUAGGCCAAAGUUCAUACGGUUUAGCCUAAGGGGAAGCCCAAAUGAAGGAGGGAAGAGCAGAGGUGAGGGGCAGGUGCGGAGGAAGUUUCAAGGCCCUCUGUGCGGUUCUGACAAGCAUGAAAGUCAAGGCUAGAGUGGCAUAACCAGUAGUGACCCUCACGGCUCCGAGCCUGGGGAGUCUGCAGGAGAAGGGACGGGCUUGGGGGACAGUUCACCACACCAGCCCCUCCACCCAGUCCCAGGGCUCCUGCACUCCCAGCGCCUGGCAGACAGCGUAGCCACAGGCUGACCCCUGGCCACUUCCAGGCCUGGCCCUGAAGAGCCGCCAUCACUGCCUGCUCAUCUUCUGCUGGGCUGGCUGCUGCACCCCAGCUCCCAAGGGCAGGGAAGCAGCUGUCCAGGGCAAAGCCUUGGUCCCCAACACCUAAGGGGCAGAGCCACCGAGCCCCUGAGAGGGCUUCCGUGAAGAAUGAAAGAACCCACCACAUCUCAGGACUCAGCUCUUAACACGGUUUGCAUAAGAGAAGAAUGGACGGGGAAAAGCAUGCUAUACAUCAUUUAAACAGACGCGGUUCUGGUCCUCAAACCUCAUAGCCACUGGGGACAUUUCAUUCAGGGCAGAUUCCCCUAUGCCCCACACCGAUCUCUUGAAUUUUCCCAGGAUAUUUUUCCCCUUCUUUAGUACAUGUUGAGUCUGGUCAACAGACUGAGUCAAGAGACAGGUGGACAGGAUGUGGCUAUGAUGCUGCCCCUGCCCAGGUCCUCACACUGGAUGCCCGGGACCCUCCUCUGCUCUACGGCUCAGCCCGGAUCUAGCUGGUUAACUGUUGGGUUCUGUUAACCCAAGAAUGCUGCAAGCUCAUCAGGGGCCAGGAUGAUAGCUUUCAGAUUUCUUUCUCAAGCAGGUGAUCAAACGCUCAAUCCACACUUUAGUUCCAUUUCAUUUGAGUAGUUAUUUUCCAUUCAACGAGGAGAAGUGGGAGGAAAGCGCUUAUCUGGCAAGCUAGGCCCUGGGGUUGGACUCGCAAAAAACCAUUCCAGGCACACACGUCAUUCAUGCUCAGAGCCAGUGGUGGAGGAAGGGGCUGGUCACUGCACUCUUUGACACAAACUCCAAAGCACAGGAAUCAGCUCUGGAGCUUAUUUAAAAUGUGGGUUCCUGGGCUUAACCCUUGAUAGCCUGACCUAGUAGUUCCAGGUGGGCCCCAGGAAUCUGCAUUUAUGACACACCUCCUGCCCCGGCCCCAAUUCCUAUGCAAGUGGUGAGACACCAUGGGCGUGUGGACAGGCCAGGCCAGGUCCAGGCUGUCCAGUGUUAACCACGGGCCUCAUGGCUGCCCGGCACACAGGAGGCCAGCUCUGCAGAGGGAGGAGACUCGGCUAUCCGACUCACUCUGAGCACCACCCCUCCUCCAAGAACGGGAUACCAGGUGACUCCUCCGUCCUUUGAAGGCCACCAGCUCACUGUCACACCUGAGCACCUAGGACGUGUCCCCCGGCUGCCUUGGGCCCAUCUGCUCCGGUUCUAAUUGAGGAGCCAGCUUCCUCUCUCAACGUGACCCGCACGUUCUGCCAAGGACCAUCUGUGCCCAGUCUGCCUCCUCUGAGCCAGUGAGCCGCCCGGGGCCUCCAGGGAGCGGGAGCCUGCCUUCGCCCCGCGGUGUCCCUGCCUAAGAACCGGGCUGUGUCUGGGCACAGCUCUGGGCCUCGGUCGGUGCCUCAGGAAGAGCAGUGGCAGCCAGCGUCUUCAUCCACGUCUGCAGAUGGUGAACAGAGAGCAAGUCUGCCUUGCCCAAGGUCACACAGCAGGUCAGCUGUGAAGCCAGGGAGGGCAGCCAAGCUCUCGCACCGGCUGUACUGGGAGCUGAGGCUGCUCAGAUUUGGGUUGUGGCCCCAUCGGAACAGAAACACCAAGCUGGGCUUUGUCUUCUUCGUUUACAAGACCUUUCGGGUGAGCCCCUUCAGGGGACUGCCCCUCCAGGGUACUGCCCUUCCACUGCCACGUGGUGAAGAGAAGAGAGGGGAAAGGCAAGAUCUUUCUCCUGAUGGAGCAAACCCUCGGGUCUCAGGAUGGGGUGGGCGGUGGCGCAUGUGACCAUCUGAAGACCUCGUCCUCAUUUCUCUCCUCCCCUCCCUGGACAGUCGGGCGGCUGACCAGGCCCACUGCCGCCCAGGCCCCACAUGAGGAGUGCAAGGUGCCGUCUGACUGCAUGUCCCCUUACCUCCUCCUUCGGGGUGGCUGUCAUUGGUAAAGUAGACUCAGGUGAUCAGGAGAAGCCCAGACCUGGGAAUCAACAGCUGCGGGUGAAGUCGUGCACCCUGUGCCAGGUCCCUGCUGCUUGGACAGGAAGAAGGGAGCGAUGGGGCCCCCGGACCCCACACCUCUGUUCCUGCACCAAGGGACAACCAAGAAACCAGGGUCACAGAUGGAGAUCACACCCAGAGCUGGAGGAUGGAAGUGGGGAGGGGGGGAAGGAGAGAGGAGGGAGGGAAGGAGGGAGAAAAGGAAGGUGGCAGGGGAGGAAGGACUCUGUAAGAAAGAAGCAUGGGGCUGCCUGCCCAGAGGUCCCACAGUGCUGAGCCUGAGCUGGACACACACAGAGCAGGUCCAGGAGAACGAGUAGGUCGUGCAUUUCAAGUAGGUGAGAGCAAACUGUAGGUUCCUGCAGGACCCCUCCAGGAACUGUUUUCAGGACCGUGUCAUCUGGCUCUGAACAAGGCACAGCCAAACUUAGGACUGUCCAGAUGAGGCCAGCCAGCCAGCCGAUACUCCAGGCUAAUCGUGGCAGGUUUAACCAUCUCAGGGAUGGAGCCCAAGACCCACCCCACCCUCUGGACUGCCUCCCGUUCAGCCCUCAGCCCUCUGAAGUUCACUCUCUCAAAGGCCUAUAAAUCAGGUAUAUGCGAGAUGAGGUUUCCUCAUCAUGUUUGAAGCUAAUAAACUGCUCUCGAUGAGAUGAAAAGAAAAGACCUUCGAUUGCAGGAGGAGGGGCACAUCUUAGACACCAGAAUGAACUUUCUGACCGCAAGCUCCAUUUAGCCAGGACACAGGCGACCCAGAGACAGGAGAGGCUACCGUGUAUUGAUGACCUACUUAGUGCAAAUGUGCAUUAUUUCACUGAAUUCCCAACGCCCUUGUCAGGCAAGCAUCGAGAUGAAGAAAGGGAGAAAUAAAAACAUUUCCAUAGCAGCCCUUCUCAAAACACAGAGGCCAUGGGCUUUGGUUCUGGAGAAUUCUAAAUAGCGCUCCAGGGGGAAGAAAGGGU